GUUCAGUGUUUACUGAGGACCUACUGUGUGCCCAACCCUGUGGAUACAGAGAUGAACAAAGCCCAGUUCCUGCUCCCAAAGGGCUUCCUGACUAGUGGUGUGACCACCCAUUUAUGAAGAGAGGAAAACUGAGAGCCAAGGGAAGGAAUGGACUUGCCCAGGAUCACACAGCUCAAGGUGAGGAGAUCAAGGGUUGAGCACAAGUCAGCUGCGGAGAUGACAGCAGAGCUGGACGGAGAGCCGGCCUCCGGGCUUUGUCCUCAGCCUCGGUUGCAUCACAUGUGUACCCUCAGGACUUCAAGUACAAUGCUGGAAAGAAGAGUUGAUGUGGACAUUUUUGUCUUGUUCCUGAUUUUAAAGCAAUGCUUCAAAUCUUUCACCUUGAAGAAUGAUGUUUGCUGUAAUUAUUUGAUAAAAGCUCUUUAUCAGGUAGGACAUUUCAUUAUGAAUUGGUGGUAAAUUUUAGCAAAUAUUUUUUGCUACACUUGUUUUGAUAACCAUAUGGUCUUUAUCCAUUAAUAUGGUGAAUUAUAUUAAUAGCUUUUCUAAUGUUAAAUCACUCUUGUAUUCCUAGGAUCAACCUAACUUGACCACAAUACAUUAUCUUUUUUAUACACUGCUGAAUUCAAUUUCUAGGAUUUUUGCAUCUAGGUGAAGAAAUGAGAUUGGCCUCUAAUUUUCUUGACCAAUUUAAUUUCUUUAUAUUCCUCCAACAGAUUUGUCACUGUAGCUAAGCCCAGGUCAAUUAUCUCCAAUUUAGAAGGCCCUUCCUACCACUGCUGGCUCCUAAAUAGCCUUUCCAUUCUGGCUUUCUCUCCUAGCAUCAGUGCAUUGAUGCCUGGGUACCAGCCACAGUAGAGACCAAACACCCCCCUGGAGGUCAGUGGCAGGCCUGAAGAAGCCAAACGCUUGGAGGUCUGGCUGAUUGUCAAUCCACAUCCCUGCUCUCCUACUCAAAACUCACUUUGUCUAAGAAGCUCUUCUUGAUUACCAGCCUGUGAUCUACUUUGAAGGCGGGGACCAUGUGUUUUCCGUCUUUGUAUCCCCAGGGUCCAACACAGAAGUUGCUCAUAAAUGUUUGGGAAACUGAGUUUACCCAACCCAAUUCUGAAUGCUUCCUGGCUGAGGUGACCCUGAUUUAAUUUUUUUUUUUUUUUCAAAAUAGUCGAGCUUUUUUGCACUCAUUACAGGCAUAGGCUCUGUCUCACAAGACAGACAGUGAUUAUUUUGUAGAUGAGAAUUGUGUCUACUGAGGAAUUGCUUUUGACUUUCCAACUGCAGAGCCUGCCCUUCACUGACCCAAAGAGUCUUGUCCAUCUGUGUUGUCCACAUCCUUUCUCACAGAUUGGAAACUCUAGGUAGGCUUCGCUCUUUAAGGUUUCCAGGAGGGCAUGUCCUCCGUGCUUUCAUGCCACACGUUUGCCCAUGACCUUUUCCUAGCCUGCUCUCUCUCCAACCCCUCUUCUCCAAAUGAACUCCUCUGUCUUUUCCCUUGUACUCAAAGGUCAGAUCCUCAGUGAAGCCCCUCCCUACUCUCCUCCUUCCCUUCCUCUCCCCCUGGAGUCAUUCUUUCAUCCUGUGUGCUCUUCAGAUGUUGUAUACACGUGCCUAUUGGAAACAACAACAACAACAACAAAACCCACUUUCUUUUAAACCCUGAAAUACUUCAGUGUAUAUUUCCUAAGAUCAGGAUAUUCUCUUACAGGAGUUACAGUACAGUCGUCACAAUCAGGAUAUUUAUCGUGGAUACAAAUACAUCUUCGAAUCCACAGUUCAUUUUCAAAUUUCAUCCAUUAUCCCUUUCUUUAACUUUAUUGUAACAAUUGUCACAUUGUUUUAUAGAUGUUUGUUCACAUUUUUCUGUAUCCUGUGUGAUCACAUGCACACAAUCACACCCCAAGGGUCUGGGCUUGUAUCUUUUAUCUUUGAUUCCAGUAAGGUGACUUGUAAGGAAGUUUUGUCUUGUGUGUGUUUAAUUAAUUAACGCAGUUAUAUGACUUGUCUUGCUUUCUCUAGUCUUCCCAGUCUGGCC
Long non-coding RNA from Orcinus orca (killer whale), 2032 nucleotides. RefSeq lists it as uncharacterized. Lineage: Eukaryota; Metazoa; Chordata; Mammalia; Artiodactyla; Delphinidae. The transcript is spliced from 4 exons. The record is from RefSeq and is a predicted model, not a curated record.